CCUUAACCUGCUAAAUAGUGCGGGCGACUUGCGUCGCUGCGUUCUUCUUAGAGGGACUGACUACGAUUAGUGGUCGGAAGUUUGAGGCAAUAACAGGUCUGUGAUGCCCUUAGAUGUUCUGGGCUGCACGCGCGCUACACUGACAAGGUCAGCAAGUUUAAUCCUUGACCGGAAGGUCUGGGUAAUCUUUUGAAACCUUGUCGUGCUGGGGAUAGACCAUUGCAAUUAUUGGUCUUCAACGAGGAAUUCCUAGUAAGCGCAAGUCAUCAGCUUGCGUUGAUUACGUCCCUGCCCUUUGUACACACCGCCCGUCGCUACUACCGAUUGAAUGGCUUAGUGAGGCCUCCGGAUCGCCUUUUUGGUGAAAAGUUGGUCAAACUUGGUCAUUUAGAGGAAGUAAAAGUCG
This 406-nucleotide ribosomal RNA is filed under the name Microsporidia sp. clade II. RNAcentral's name for it is "SSU rRNA". It matches the Rfam family "Eukaryotic small subunit ribosomal RNA", at positions 1341 to 1791 of the family's 1831-position model. Lineage: Eukaryota; Fungi; Microsporidia. The record is from RNAcentral.